Molecule: ribosomal RNA, 468 nt
Filed under: uncultured bacterium
Lineage: Bacteria
Description: partial 16S ribosomal RNA
Rfam family: Bacterial small subunit ribosomal RNA
Source: RNAcentral
GACGAACGCUGGCGGCGUGCUUAACACAUGCAAGUCGAACGGAAAGGCCCUGCUUUUGUGGGGUGCUCGAGUGGCGAACGGGUGAGUAACACGUGAGUAACCUGCCCUUGACUUUGGGAUAACUUCAGGAAACUGGGGCUAAUACCGGAUAGGAGCUCCUGCUGCAUGGUGGGGGUUGGAAAGUUUCGGCGGUUGGGGAUGGACUCGCGGCUUAUCAGCUGGUUGGUGGGGUAGUGGCUUACCAAGGCUUUGACGGGUAGCCGGCCUGAGAGGGUGACCGGCCACAUUGGGCCUGAGGUACGGCCCAGAAUCCUACGGGAGGCAGCAGUGGGGAAUAUUGCACAAUGGGCGGAAGCCUGAUGUAGCAACGCCGCGUGCGGGAUGCCGGCCUUCGGGUUGUAAACCGCUUUCGCCUGUGACGAAGCGUGAGUGACGGUAAUGGGUAAAGAAGCACCGGCUAACUACGUG